RNAcentral lists this ribosomal RNA (253 nucleotides) under uncultured microorganism. RNAcentral's name for it is "partial 16S ribosomal RNA". It matches the Rfam family "Bacterial small subunit ribosomal RNA", at positions 524 to 776 of the family's 1533-position model. The record is from RNAcentral.
UACGGAGGGGGCUAGCGUUGUUCGGAAUUACUGGGCGUAAAGCGCACGUAGGCGGACUGGAAAGUCAGGGGUGAAAUCCCGGGGCUCAACCCCGGAACUGCCUUUGAAACUCCCAGUCUUGAGUUCGAGAGAGGUGAGUGGAAUUCCGAGUGUAGAGGUGAAAUUCGUAGAUAUUCGGAGGAACACCAGUGGCGAAGGCGGCUCACUGGCUCGAUACUGACGCUGAGGUGCGAAAGCGUGGGGAGCAAACAGG